This 484-nucleotide ribosomal RNA is filed under the name uncultured bacterium. RNAcentral's name for it is "partial 16S ribosomal RNA". It matches the Rfam family "Bacterial small subunit ribosomal RNA", at positions 30 to 507 of the family's 1533-position model. The record is from RNAcentral.
AUUGAACGCUGGCGGAAUGCUUUACACAUGCAAGUCGAGCGGCAGCACGGGGGCAACCCUGGUGGCGAGCGGCGAACGGGUAAGUAAUACAUCGGAACAUGCCCAGUCGUGGGGGAUAACACUUCGAAAGAAGUGCUAAUACCGCAUACGUCCUGAGGGAGAAAGCGGGGGAUCGCAAGACCUCGCGCGAUUGGAGUGGCCGAUGUCAGAUUAGCUAGUUGGUGGGGUAAAGGCCUACCAAGGCAACGAUCUGUAGCUGGUCUGAGAGGAUGAUCAGCCACACUGGGACUGAGACACGGCCCAGACUCCUACGGGAGGCAGCAGUGGGGAAUUUUGGACAAUGGGGGCAACCCUGAUCCAGCCAUUCCGCGUGAGUGAAGAAGGCCUUCGGGUUGUAAAGCUCUUUCGGCAGGAACGAAACGGCGAGCUCUAACAUAGCUUGCUAAUGACGGUACCUGAAGAAGAAGCACCGGCUAACUACGUG